This 118-nucleotide ribosomal RNA is filed under the name Pteropus alecto (black flying fox). The record is from RNAcentral. Lineage: Eukaryota; Metazoa; Chordata; Mammalia; Chiroptera; Pteropodidae.
GUCUGAGGCUUGCCACCCUGAACGUGCCCAAUCUCAUCAGAUCUCGAAAGCUAAGCACGGUUGGGCCUGGUUAGUACUUGGAUGGGAGACCACCUGGGAACACCAGGUGCUGUAGGCG